This is a long non-coding RNA of Dreissena polymorpha, 1031 nucleotides long. RefSeq lists it as uncharacterized. The transcript has 3 exons. The record is from RefSeq and is a predicted model, not a curated record. NCBI's taxonomy places the organism in Eukaryota, Metazoa, Mollusca, Bivalvia, Myida, Dreissenidae.
CUGUCGGUUUUCGUCAUAAAUUUUAAUUUUACAACGAUAGGCCUAUAGAAUAAGCUUCAUUCGUGUUGUAUAACCGAUUUGAUGAAAUUUAAUUAAAAGCAUUUUUAUUAGGCUAUUUAAUAAUGAUACUGGAUGAUAAAUAAACUGAAUUUUAAAGCUACUGUACUCUAUACAUUCCUAAAACGCUGGUCUCAAUUUUGUAUCUGUGUAAAUAAGAUGGAAUAAUUGUGACCAGUUAAUUUACUUCAACAUUCAAACAAGUAGCAAUUUAUGUGAUGGACUUUUAAGUUGGGCAACUAUGGAUUACGGAUAACCAUAGAAAGAGCAGACAACUGUAAAUGGCCAGGAAGCGGAAAAGAUCCCCAAUUCUUCGGGGAAAAUGGUCGUUUGGAGAGGAAAUGCGUUUCCAUGGAGAUUUGUUUUACGUCGUCUAGCGCUCCCGACGAGAUCAUUUGAGGAAUUGCAUGCCAUUCAUCGCCUUCGACGUCUAUUUUUAGAAGGUCUAUUGUUUUCUGAAACGAAAAUACAUAUAAGAGUAUCUGCUAACAGACUUGAAGUGGAAGCGGAGAGAUUGUACACGCCUGAACAGAUACCGUUUCAAAACAGAAAAUGCAAACACUUCAACUUUCUUGAGGACGAAUUUCAUUUGUUACUGGAAUGCCCAAUGUUUAUGUAUUUAAGAAGUAUAUAGAUUAAUAUUACUGGAAGAACCCAAACAUGAUCAAGUUUAUUGAUCUCUUACAGACUGACAAUGAAAAAAAGUGAACGUUAUUUAUCUAUAUUUGUUUUUAAAGCUUUUCAAUUGAGGGCUGACUUAUAUUAUCAAUAGUUUCUCUUCAUGUACUUACAUUUAUUACCUAUUUUAUAUUUUAAAAAAAUACGAUCAAUUGAAUACACAAAUUUUGUAUUACAACUUUCAUCUAGGUUCAGGUUGUUUACACAUUUUUGUAUUAAGACUUUCAUCUACGUUCUGUUAAAAGUUCUCAUUGACCAUCUGUGUAUAUACUUUGAAAUAAACUCUAUAUCAUGCA